CCAGUUGGCCGGGCAGCCGCGCUCCGCUAGGGCCGAAAGGCUGCGGGGGAGGAAAGUCCGGGCUCCAUGAAAACACGGUGCCGGAUAACGUCCGGCGGGGGCGACCCUAGGGAAAGUGCCACAGAAAGCAAACCGCCUGUCCUUGCGACAGGUCAGGGUGAAAGGGUGGGGUAAGAGCCCACCGCACGCAUGGCAACAUGGGUGGCAGGGCAAACCCCACCGGGAGCAAAACCGAAUAGGGACGACGCGGAUCGCGCAAGCGCUCCGGCCGGUUUUCAGGCCAGUCGUCCGGGUGGGUUGCACGAGGUUGCGCGUAAGCGCCGCCCCAGAUGAAUGGCUGCCACGUUCCGGUCUCAAAGCCGGAGCCAUACAGAACCCGGCUUACAGGCCAACUGGCAAU
RNAcentral lists this RNase P RNA (400 nucleotides) under Rhizobium sp. 32-5/1. RNAcentral's name for it is "RNase P RNA component class A". It matches the Rfam family "Bacterial RNase P class A". Rfam says of the family: Ribonuclease P (RNase P) is a ubiquitous endoribonuclease, found in archaea, bacteria and eukarya as well as chloroplasts and mitochondria. Its best characterised activity is the generation of mature 5'-ends of tRNAs by cleaving the 5'-leader elements of precursor-tRNAs. The record is from RNAcentral. Lineage: Bacteria; Pseudomonadati; Pseudomonadota; Alphaproteobacteria; Hyphomicrobiales; Rhizobiaceae.